UACGUAGGGUGCGACGUUAAUCGGAAUUACGUGGGCGUAAAAGGAGUGCGUAGGCGGUUCGUUAAGUCAGCUGUGAAAGCCCCGGGCUCAACCUGGGAACUGCGGUUGAAACUGGCGAACUAGAAUCUGGCAGAGGGGGGUGGAAUUCCACGUGUAAGCAGUGAAAUGCGUAGAGAUGUGGAGAACACCGAUGGCGAAGGCAGCCCCUGGCUGAGAUUGACGCUCAGGCACGAAGCGUGGGAGCAAACAGGAUUGAGAGUACCCGGGAGUC
This 271-nucleotide ribosomal RNA is filed under the name uncultured bacterium. RNAcentral describes it as "partial 16S ribosomal RNA". It matches the Rfam family "Bacterial small subunit ribosomal RNA", at positions 524 to 795 of the family's 1533-position model. The record is from RNAcentral.